This 743-nucleotide long non-coding RNA is filed under the name Ananas comosus (pineapple). RNAcentral's name for it is "long non-coding RNA (ACOM_LNC010748)". Lineage: Eukaryota; Viridiplantae; Streptophyta; Magnoliopsida; Poales; Bromeliaceae. The record is from RNAcentral.
AUAUAAAGGCCUUUGUAUGUUUGGAUGUACGAAUAUUUUGUGUGACAUAUUUUUUAAAUUUUUAUAAUAAAUUUGUAAUUUAUGAUAGAUAACGAGCGCGAUCAAAUUUUUUGAAUGUAAAGACCUUUAUUUUUUUUCAAAAUAAGAUAAAGCACAAUUUAAGAAAAAUAUACUAUUUUACCAAAUCAUAAAUACUGAGACAUUGUAAUAUCUGAUAGAUAAUGAGUGUGAUCAAAUGUUCUUAAUAUAAAGACCAUUAUUUUCUUUUGAAAUAAGAUAAAGUACAAUAUAAGAAAAAUCUACUAUCUUGUCAAAUCAUAAAUACUGAAACAUUUUAUAAAGCAAAAUUUAAAUUUCUAGCUUCCAAUCAAAGAAAAAAAAAAUCUUUAUAUCAAACAAAUUAGGGUAAACUUCAAAUACCACCCUUGUGGUUUCGUAUUUUCUCACUUUAAUACCCUGUGGUUUAAAGUGUAUCAAUUUAGCCCUCUAGUUUUAUUUCUCUCUUUUCGCCAGCCCCUUCGUUAACUUUUUGUUAAAUCAUAUACAAAAAACUUCAGAUAUCUCACCUAUAUUUUAUCGAAUAUUCAGUUUAGCACUAUUUAGUUUUAACUUUGUCACUGAUUUAACGAAAAAAAUUAGUGGAGGGAUAACAAAAAGAGAAAAAUAAAAUCACAGGGUAUGAAAAUGAUACAUUUUAAACCACAGGAUACUAAAGUGAAAAAGUACGAAACUACAGGCCGGGG